This is a non-coding RNA of Phrynosoma platyrhinos (Desert horned lizard), 71 nucleotides long. The record is from the annotation of a GenBank genome assembly. NCBI's taxonomy places the organism in Eukaryota, Metazoa, Chordata, Lepidosauria, Squamata, Phrynosomatidae.
GAUAGUGUUGCAUAGUGAUUUGAUGCUGGACUCUGACUCUGGAGACCCGGGUUCAAAUCCCUGCUCAGCCA